GGUGGGGUGGCCGAGAGGCGAGGCGACGGACUGCAAAUCCGUUUACAGAGGUUCGAAUCCUCUCCCCACCUCCA
RNAcentral lists this transfer RNA (74 nucleotides) under Micrococcales bacterium. Its description in RNAcentral is "tRNA-Cys". It matches the Rfam family "tRNA". Rfam says of the family: Transfer RNA (tRNA) molecules are approximately 80 nucleotides in length. Their secondary structure includes four short double-helical elements and three loops (D, anti-codon, and T loops). Further hydrogen bonds mediate the characteristic L-shaped molecular structure. tRNAs have two regions of fundamental functional importance: the anti-codon, which is responsible for specific mRNA codon recognition, and the 3' end, to which the tRNAs corresponding amino acid is attached (by aminoacyl-tRNA synthetases). tRNAs cope with the degeneracy of the genetic code in two manners: having more than one tRNA (with a specific anti-codon) for a particular amino acid; and 'wobble' base-pairing, i.e. permitting non-standard base-pairing at the 3rd anti-codon position. RNAcentral also lists the same sequence under 1 other name. The record is from RNAcentral. Lineage: Bacteria; Bacillati; Actinomycetota; Actinomycetes; Micrococcales.